RNAcentral lists this ribosomal RNA (269 nucleotides) under uncultured prokaryote. Its description in RNAcentral is "partial 16S ribosomal RNA". It matches the Rfam family "Bacterial small subunit ribosomal RNA", at positions 524 to 792 of the family's 1533-position model. The record is from RNAcentral.
GACGAACCGUACGAACGUUAUUCGGAAUCACUGGGCUUAAAGGGUGCGUAGGCGGUCCGGAAAGUUGGGUGUGAAAGCCCUCGGCUCAACCGAGGAAUUGCGCUCAAAACUCCCGGACUAGAGGGAGACAGAGGUGAGCGGAACUUAGGGUGGAGCGGUGAAAUGCGUUGAGAUCCUAAGGAACACCAGUAGCGAAAGCGGCUCACUGGGUCUCUUCUGACGCUCAGGCACGAAAGCUAGGGGAGCGAACGGGAUUAGAUACCCCCGUA